UACGUAGGGUGCGAGCGUUAAUCGGAAUUACUGGGCGUAAAGCGUGCGCAGGCGGUUUUGUAAGCCAGAUGUGAAAGCCCCGGGCUUAACCUGGGAAUGGCAUUUGGGACUGCAAGGCUUGAGUGCGGCAGAGGAGACUGGAAUUCCUGGUGUAGCAGUGAAAUGCGUAGAUAUCAGGAGGAACACCGGUGGCGAAGGCGGGUCUCUGGGCCGAUAUUGACGCUGAGGAGCGAAAGCGUGGGGAGCGAACAGG
Molecule: ribosomal RNA, 253 nt
Filed under: uncultured bacterium
Lineage: Bacteria
Description: partial 16S ribosomal RNA
Rfam family: Bacterial small subunit ribosomal RNA
Source: RNAcentral